Long non-coding RNA from Paramacrobiotus metropolitanus, 903 nucleotides. RefSeq lists it as uncharacterized. The transcript has 4 exons. Lineage: Eukaryota; Metazoa; Tardigrada; Eutardigrada; Parachela; Macrobiotidae. The record is from RefSeq and is a predicted model, not a curated record.
AAUAAAGUCACAAAGUGACAAAAAAAUUGAUUUUUGAUCUUCUACCGUUUUUCGGUUAACUUGUCAUUAAUGCGAUUCAUUGGGGCUUGCAGUUUGAGUUUUAUCAGGAUAGCUUCAGACUAGUGACUUUUUGUCAUUGUUGUGGAAGGAUGCAUCCAAUGUUCAGUAUGCAAAGAGAAGGAAUCGAAGUACAAGUGUCCUGGUUGUCGUGCUCCUUUUUGCUCUUUGCCUUGCUCACGAAAGCAUAAAGAAGAAUUCUGUUCUCCAUCCACUGAUUCGCCCGGCGUGCUUGCCGCUGUGACGAAAACCCGAAAUAGCGGACUUGCGAGUGAUGGCAGUGUGACCACCGAGCAGCAGUCGCAAGAGCAUCUGAAGCAAAUCCUUCAGUGCAUACCCGAAGAAAACAGACUGAAUCAAGCGUCGUUACGGAGACUUGAGGAUUCGAAGGAAGUUAAAGAUAUAAUUGCUGAUGCGGAACUACAGAACAUGCUAACAAAAGUCCUGAAUUCCCCGAGUCGUCUGGAUGCCCAUAGUCAGAUUCGAUCGCUAUUAAUUUCCGAACCGAAAUUCACAGAAUUUUCGGCAAGCUGUCUCAAUAUCGUCGGGCACUCCAGAAGGAUAAUGGACAGUAAUUGAGCUCCGUGACCUUGUGGCUUGUGUUAUGGUGUUGUUAAAUUACUGAAAUGUUUGAACUGCUUGAAUGCGUACGAUUUUAUAAAUUUCUGUAGCGGCUUUGUUUUACCUAUUGCUUACGUUAGUUUUUAGUUGAGAGUAUUUAUUAAUCGUCCCCUGAAAAAAAUUAAGCAUACUUUUUCUACGAGUCUCGGUUUUUAAGGGAUUUUGGAUGUUUGUAUAGUUUUGAUGAUGUUUGUAAUAGUUUUAUGGGUUAAAAAUCAAGCACAA